RNAcentral lists this long non-coding RNA (1349 nucleotides) under Sus scrofa (pig). RNAcentral's name for it is "lncRNA (ENSSSCG00015026086.1)". Lineage: Eukaryota; Metazoa; Chordata; Mammalia; Artiodactyla; Suidae. The record is from RNAcentral.
AUGGACAUUUAGGUUGCUUCCAUGUCUUGGCUAUUAUAACUAGUGCUGCUGUGAACAUAGGGAGUGCCUAUCUUUUUGAAUCAUGGUUUUCUCCAGGCGUAUGCCAGAAAGUGGGGUUGCUGUAUCAUCGAGCAACUCCCUUUUUAGUUUUUAAGGAAUCUCUAUACCAUUUUCCAUCCUGGCAGCAUCCGUUUACACUCCCACCACCAAUGUAGGUGGGCUCCAAAGGAAUAAACUCUUGAUACAUACAAAACUGGAAUGACUCUCAAAGGCACUGGGCUGAGUAAAAGCAGCCUGUCCUAAGUGGUCACAGAGAAUCUGAUUUCUCGUACAUAACUUUCUUAAAAUGACAUUGCAANUAGAGACGGAGAACAUUUCUUAAUAGUUUUCAGGAGUUAGGGGUGUGGGAUCUGGUACUAUAGUUUUACAAGAUGUUACCACUGGAGCAAACUAAAGGGUUUAUUGCAUCUCUUAACACUGUAUGUGAAUCCCCAACUACCUAAAAAUAAAAAUAUCAAUGCAAAACGACUGAGCAGAGAAAUCCAUGUUCCUUCCACAAUGGAAGGAGAAACAUUCCACAGAUUAAGUUCAGGCAAGUUACUAAACACAGUAUCAACUCUUGGGGGGGGGGGGAUCAGAACCUACAGUUGCAAUAAUAUAUUAUCUAAAACUGUCCCGUUUUCAACAACAAAAAAGUAUGAGAUGUGUAUACAAACAAGAUAGUAUAAUCCAUCGCCAGGGAAAAAAAGUCAAUAGAAGCUGUCUCUAAGGGGAUCCAGAUGUUGGAUUUAGCAGACAAAGCCUUCAAAGCAGCUAUUAAAAAUAUGCUCAAAGAAUUAAAGGACAUCAGGAUCAAAGAAUUUAAGCAAAAUGUAACCACAACUAAAAAGCAGGGAAGCGCAACAAAAACAAUGAAAGCUAUAACAAAGAAUUAAAUGAAAAUUCUAGCGCUGAAAAGCACAAUAAUUGUAAUUCAAUAUUUACCGGAUGAUCUUAAUAGAUUUGAGGUGGUAGGAGAAAGAAAUCAGUCACCUUGAAUGUCGAUCAUAAAAAUUACCCAAUCCUGAAGAGUAGAGAGAAGAACAACGGAGGAAAAAUGAACAGAGCCUCAGGACCUGUGGGCACCAUCAAGCAUACCAACCCAGGGAAACGGCAGUCACGGAAAAAGAGGAGCUAAACAAAUGGGACAGAAGAAACAUCUGAAGAAAUGAUGGCCCCAAACUUUCAAGUUUGAUAAAGAUCCAAAAAUAGCAAUGAAUCCCAAGUUAAAUAAAUACAAAGAGAUAUUCUACCUAAAUACACCAUAGUCAAACUUGAAAGACAAAAAAAACAAAACAAAACAAAAAAAA